GAAACCUCCCCAAGCCCUCCACACAGAAGUGAUUGUGAGUGCCGCUCCAGACCUCGCCCUAUGGGAUCUAUAGGACCUGUAGACCUAUAGCUGCCUGUAUGAUCCUGUGGGUACAAUCUCCUAAUGUAGGUGAGUGUGUGGUCUUUAUAACACAGAAGUACAUGCGAGCCUCAGGGGCUGCUUUUUAUUGACAGUUCAUGAUAAUAAUAGCACACAGUGCAUGUGGGGCAUGGGGUGAGGGCUGGGUAUUUACUGACUGUCCUGUGAGGUGGUGUGAUUUCUGUCCCCACUUGGCCAAUGAGGGCCUGCGGCACAGAGGGGUUACCAGCUCUCCUAAGGCCAACAGAGUUGAUGGAGGGCUGGCUCCUGAACCACACCAGCCUGAUGCAGGGGACUCAGCAUUUUCACGACCCCAUAUUAUCAUAUCAAUGUGCCAUAAUUUAUUUAGAUCUUUCCCUUUGUUGUUUCAAUUUUUCCCUCUUAAUGAACAGCUCAUAGCCAAAUUUUUGUGUACCUCAUUAUUUCCUUACACCCUCCCCAACUCCUCACUCUACGGUGACUCCACUGGGCAAAAACUUGCACACUUUAAGAAUUUGGAAAAUGUGUUGACAAAUUACAUCCUAGAGAGGGGGGCUCCAAUCCCAGCCGAAGCAGAUGGAGAGGCCCGCCCACGUCUUUGCUAACCAUGGGAAUAUUUUUCCUAAAGGAAAAGCUUUGCCAGUUUGGUAGCUGCUGUGAUUUGAAUGAUGACGGCCCUUCUGAAAUUCAGGUUGAAACUUAAUCUCCAAAGCAACAAUAUUAAAAGGUGUGGCUUUGGGAGGCCCCACCCUCAUGACUGGGAUCAGUGCCCUCACAGAAGGACUGGAGGUUGAAGGGAGCGUGUAACUGAGCACCUAGCAAGAAGGCCCUCACCAGACACCAGUGCCGCCACCUUGGACUUCCCCAUCUCCAGAACACUAGGAAAUAGCUUCUGGUUCUUUAUAAAUUACCCAGGCUCAGAUAUUUUGUUAUAGCAGCAGGAACAGACUAAGACAGUAGAUAAGAACUGUCCUUUCCGCUCUAACAUUCCGGCCAUCUUUGAGAACAGGCUCUGCGUGUCCUGCCCAAGGACAGGCAUGAUUUCAAUCCUUUCCCAAAGAAACUGCCAGCAAUGUGACCCGUAAGGCAGUAAGUUUAUGCAAUUAAAAUUUUGACCUGAUUUCUUCAUUAACAGUCUGAGUUUGGCUGGGCUGUAAAGCUGAGCAAAGGUUUAAGACAGAGCUCGGGCUUCUGGUCUUUCUCUUACAGGUGUACAUUUAAUACCAGGGCUCUGCCAGGGCUUCUAGAAAGAGCCUAGGGUGAGGAGGAAGCUCAGGGAGCUUGUGCUCCCAGAAGAGCUGCAUCACAGAAGUGGAGAUGGGGGCCGCACAUUGGCCAUGAGUACCCACGGAUUGCAGUAGCCCCACUGAGGCCCCUUAAGGUGAUAAAGACGAAUUACAACCAAAGACUCUGGGGACUGGUCCCGGUGGUGGACCUUCGGUGUCCUCGGGGAGCACGGUGGGGGCAGGUCCUGGGGGCCAGUGUGGGCUCUCUGUGCUCACACUUGGGAAGGAGCAGAGCAGGCCCUGAGACACUGCCACAGCCUCCCUCCUCCUUCCAAAAAGAGGAAGAGACUGUGAUGUUCCAGCUCUGCCCGUGUGACUCAACCAGGGCUGCGGCCGACUGCGUGACCACCAGGAAGAGGCUGUUUACAUCUUCGGGAAUCCCACAUCUGGCCAGGCUCAGCUCAGGGUGGAGGGUCCCCUGAGCACUGGGGAUGACUGGAAGCCUGCAGUCCCAAGCUAGGUGGCCUGGCCCGGAGCUCCUGAGAUUUGGGCAUCAGAGUGGCCGAGUUGCUCAAACAGGUUCCUGUACAUCUGUGAGUCUCCGUUUUCUUCUCUGUGAAAUGGGGACAAUAAAACCACCUACUUUAUUGAGUCAUCGCAAGCUGGAAGAGGGUGAUGUGUGUAAAGAGAUUAACCCAGUAUCUAGUACCUCUAAAGUGCUUAACAAAUGACACCUAUCACAGUGAUUUUAACUGGCUUAUUUCUCCAUAAAAUGAACGCGGAAUCCGUCCAUGGCCUCGUUCUCAGAAUGCAAUUUCAUCCCCACCAAACUGAAAACUCUUCAACAGCAGCAGCGCCUCCCUCCACACCAUGUUCCUCCUCCUUGAUUUCUAGACCCAGAUGCAGGUUGAGGUGGGCAAUGGGGUCGCGCUUAUCCUCACUCCUCGUCAUCACCAGAGAGGUGGUGACCUUCCGGGGACCCCCAUAGACAGGCUUGGUCUGGCUCUGCUUCCCAGGAAUUCCCUCAGUGGUUUUGUGUUUCUUUCUUUCUUUCUUUCUUUUGACUCAUUCUUUCCCGUCAGUGGGGCUCGGUGUUUGCUGGAUGAGAGCGUGUUCUGUCGGCAGGUGGCAUCCAGUUCUACGGGGUCCUCUGUGGAUGCUAGGGUGCCCGGGAACCAGCAGUUCCACGUUGCAUUUUCCUGGAUGUCCGAGCAGAGCACCCGGGUCAGGCGAGUUCCCAGAAGCUCCUUGCCUUCUCUUCCCUGCAUCAGGAAGGCUGGGGAGGGCGGCUCUGGAUCCUGAGGGGAAGCCACUCGGAUCUCCUGCAGCUGCUCAAGACCACGGCACUGUGACUGUGCUUGCCCAUCUGGAAAGCCUCAGGCGUGCAGGAGCUUGGCUGGGCUCCACAUUUGGACACAGAACCUGCUCCAUCUGAGCUCGUGGCUCUUGGUCAGCCCAGGCUCAGGGAGCCUCUCGACGGGGUGGAAUUUUGGGUUUCACCCACUUGGCUGAUGCUUCCUGCCCUGUGUAAUUGAAUCAAUCCUUUACGUAAAUGCUGUUUCGUAACUGCCCGGGCUUUUCAGGGCCUCUGGGCCCUGGCUGAAAACCUAACUCAGCUCCUGCCUGGGAGGCUUUGCGCGGCAGGCCUGGCUGGUGGGAGGGUUUGGUGCCAGAGGCAUCCGUCGGGUGAGGAGCAGGACCUCCCACGGUGAACAUGGUGGCCACGUCCCCGCAGAGCCCAGCCUACUGAGCUGUCCAGUGAACCCUUGUGCACUUAAGCUAAAACACGCAGCCGUG
RNAcentral lists this long non-coding RNA (3101 nucleotides) under Homo sapiens (human). RNAcentral describes it as "non-protein coding lnc-FAM120B-11:2". The record is from RNAcentral. Lineage: Eukaryota; Metazoa; Chordata; Mammalia; Primates; Hominidae.